AAAUGGUUUCAGAGAGUGGGAGGACCACGAAGGAAAUAAACCAGUGUGAUCCAGCUGAGUGGGGAAGGAGGCCCUCUCUGAAGACGGGAUGUGUGAGCUGAGAACCCAGGCCUGGGCUGAACGGCCCCGGGAGCCAGCUGGGCCAACUGACGUCAGGACACCGAUAGCCUGCGAGCGGCGGGCUGAAUCACCCCCGCCCCAAGUGGACGCCCAAGUCUCUACCUGCGUGUUGCUUUGUCCUUCACAGGUCAGGGCGUUGGUUUUCUUUUUAAAUAAAUAAAGCUGAACCUGACUCACAACUCAACUCAAGAGAGGCUGCCGCUCAGCUCAGCGUCACCAUGGUAACCGCUCCAUCCAUAGAACACUUGAAAAUCUUAACACUCAAGACUCAAGACACAUACAAGCUGACAGAGGCUCCAGGUGUGCCUGAUUUAAGAGACCUCCAAAUUCCUAGACUGAUAUAGUUCUCCACCAAAACGGUUCCGGAUCAUGCUCGUCAGUCACCCGGGGAGACUGGAAGAAAUGCAGAUUCUAGGCCCCCUAACACGAAUUGCUUCAGAAACAAGGAUUAACAGGAGAGGAGGGAUGUCUAUCGGGAUCCUGGAAGAACAUUUCGUAAGAGGAAAGAGGCUCAGAAGGAUUGGGUCCCCUGCCCCGGGCCUCAUGGCUCCUGGACUGAGGUCCAGGCUGAGAUUCAGAGGAUCCCAAGGUUCGUGCUCCCCACACCACGCCAGACUGAGUCCCAUGGGGCGAUUACGAGGGAGCCGUUCCGCUUUGCUCGGAGACCGGGGCAAGGCGUGGGGUCACGUAGAGGCUGAUUUUCAGGAGGCAGUGGUGUCUGGGGAUGAAGUGCUCAGAGACAGCCUGUCCUCACUUGGCAUGAGUCCUCCCCCGCUCUGUAAGAGGGGCUGAUAAAGUUGGAACUGAUUUUGGAGAAGAGUUUACUGGUGUCCUUUCUUCUUGACUUUGUGGAGACCUACAGCCUCCAGGCUGGUGGCCCGCUUUCCAGGAAAAUGUUAGAGUCUUUCCCUGGGAAUGGAGAUAGGGAUGACCGUGGAGCCACCCAGCCCUUCUCUCCUCACUUAUCAAAUGCAGAGU
Mustela erminea (ermine) is the source of this 1098-nucleotide long non-coding RNA. RefSeq lists it as uncharacterized. Lineage: Eukaryota; Metazoa; Chordata; Mammalia; Carnivora; Mustelidae. The transcript has 5 exons. The record is from RefSeq and is a predicted model, not a curated record.